RNAcentral lists this ribosomal RNA (301 nucleotides) under uncultured bacterium. RNAcentral describes it as "partial 16S ribosomal RNA". It matches the Rfam family "Bacterial small subunit ribosomal RNA", at positions 509 to 807 of the family's 1533-position model. The record is from RNAcentral.
CAGCCGCCGCGGUAAUACGAAGGGGGCUAGCGUUGUUCGGAAUUACUGGGCGUAAAGCGCACGUAGGCGGAUCGAUCAGUCAGGGGUGAAAUCCCAGGGCUCAACCCUGGAACUGCCUUUGAUACUGUCGAUCUGGAGUAUGGAAGAGGUGAGUGGAAUUCCGAGUGUAGAGGUGAAAUUCGUAGAUAUUCGGAAGAACACCAGUGGCGAAGGCGGCUUACUGGCUCAUACUGGACGCUGAGGUGCGAAAGCGUGGGGAGCAAACAGGAUUAGAUACCCGUGUAGUCCCUGUCUCUUAUAC